GCAUGUUGGGAGCUCAGAUGUCUCUUCUCUCUCCCCAGCUUCCCCACCAUCUAUUUUGCUCCAGCUGGCAAGAAGCAGAGUCCAAAGAAGUAUGAGGGCGGCAGAGAAGUGAGUGACUUCAUUAGCUACUUGAAGCGGGAGGCAACCAACACUCCUGUGCUGCAGGAGGAAGAUAAAACCAAGAAAUCCAAGAAGAAGGUGAAGGAGGAUUUGUAAAGUACCCACUCACUAUCUGGUCAGGAUGAGCUCCAUGUGAAUUGGGGAAGCACUGGGCAGACUGGGGCCAGUUCUGGGUUGUGGAGAGCCAGUGACCAUGUGGGCCAAGGGGACCCAGCUGCUGUAUCUAGUUCUGUUUAAUUUCCUGCCGUCUCUUAGCUGCACUGUUGUGGGGCUCCCCAGACUGGUUUGUUUUGUGGUUUGGGGGGGGGUGGGGGGUAGGGUUAUUUUCUAAUUUUUUUUGUACAUUUGGAGAAGUGAAACAAUAAAAUGACCCCCUUAAGACCAA
Molecule: long non-coding RNA, 505 nt
Organism: Aquila chrysaetos chrysaetos
Lineage: Eukaryota; Metazoa; Chordata; Aves; Accipitriformes; Accipitridae
Exons: 2
Source: RefSeq, a predicted model, not a curated record